ACAUCAAUCAAAUUCAAUCAAAAUUGUAAAAGAGUUAUAUAAGAAACACAAAGUAUUCCUUAAGACUAUUUAAAAAAAUCAUAAAGAAAUAAUAUAAGAAUUCAAAAUAUACUAAAAUAGAAAUCUUAAUUAAAUCCUAAUCAAAUCCUAACCAAAUUCUAAAAAAACCUUAGUCAAAUCCUAAUCAAUCUUAAAUAAAUCCUAGUCAAAUUGUAACAAAUCAUAAUCAAACUCUAACUAAAUUUUAAACAAAAUUUAAUCAAAUCCUAACCAAAAUCUAUUUAAAUCCUAAUCAAAUUCUAACAAACUCUAGUAAAAUCUUAAACAAAUUCUAAUCAAAUCUUUAUCAAAUCCUAAUCAAAUUCUAAUCAAACUCUAACCAAAUCUUAGUCAAAUCUUAACCAAAUCCUAAUCAAAUUCUAACCAAACUCUAGUCAAAUCCUAAUAAAAUCCUAAUCAAUCCUAAAUCAAAUCCUCACAAAUCCUAAUCAAAUCCUAAUCAAAUCCUAAUCAAAUCUUAAACAUAUCUUAAUCAAAUCCUAACCAAAUUUUAAAAAAAUUAUAAUCAAAUCCUAACCAAAUCCUAACUAAAUCCUAAUCAAAUUCUAAUCAAUUCUAAAUAAACCAUAGUCAAAUCCUAAAAAAUCCUAAUCAAAUCCUAAAUAAACCAUAAUCAAAUCCUAGUCAAAUCCUAAACAAAUCCUAAUCAAAUC
RNAcentral lists this long non-coding RNA (713 nucleotides) under Physcomitrium patens. RNAcentral describes it as "long non-coding RNA (PPAT_LNC008611)". The record is from RNAcentral. Lineage: Eukaryota; Viridiplantae; Streptophyta; Bryopsida; Funariales; Funariaceae.